UCCUUGGUGGCUCAGACAGUAAAGAAUCUGCCUGCAAUGCAGGAGACCUAGGUUUGAUUCCUGGGUCAGGAA
Molecule: transfer RNA, 72 nt
Filed under: Ovis aries (sheep)
Lineage: Eukaryota; Metazoa; Chordata; Mammalia; Artiodactyla; Bovidae
Rfam family: tRNA
About the family: Transfer RNA (tRNA) molecules are approximately 80 nucleotides in length. Their secondary structure includes four short double-helical elements and three loops (D, anti-codon, and T loops).
Source: Rfam by way of RNAcentral